UAAGUUAGAAAGGGCGCACGGUGGAUGCCUUGACACUAGGAGUCGAUGAAGGACGGGACUAACGCCGAUAUGCUUCGGGGAGCUGUAAGUAAGCUUUGAUCCGAAGAUUUCCGAAUGGGGAAACCCACCAUACGUAAUGGUAUGGUAUCCUUAUCUGAAUACAUAGGAUAAGGAAGACAGACCCAGGGAACUGAAACAUCUAAGUACCUGGAGGAAGAGAAAGCAAAUGCGAUUUCCUGAGUAGCGGCGAGCGAAACGGAACAUAGCCCAAACCAAGAGGCUUGCCUCUUGGGGUUGUAGGACAUUCUAUACGGAGUUACAAAGGAACGAGGUAGACGAAGCGACCUGGAAAGGUCCGUCGUAGAGGGUAACAACCCCGUAGUCGAAACUUCGUUCUCUCUUGAAUGUAUCCUGAGUACGGCGGAACACGUGAAAUUCCGUCGGAAUCUGGGAGGACCAUCUCCCAAGGCUAAAUACUCCCUAGUGAUCGAUAGUGAACCAGUACCGUGAGGGAAAGGUGAAAAGCACCCCGGAAGGGGAGUGAAAGAGAUCCUGAAACCGUGUGCCUACAAAUAGUCAGAGCCCGUUAACGGGUGAUGGCGUGCCUUUUGUAGAAUGAACUGGCGAGUUACGAUCCCGUGCGAGGUUAAGCUGAAGAGGCGGAGCCGCAGCGAAAGCGAGUCUGAAUAGGGCGUUUAGUACGUGGUCGUAGACCCGAAACCAGGUGAUCUACCCAUGUCCAGGGUGAAGUUCAGGUAACACUGAAUGGAGGCCCGAACCCACGCACGUUGAAAAGUGCGGGGAUGAGGUGUGGGUAGCGGUGAAAUUCCAAUCGAACCUGGAGAUAGCUGGUUCUCCCCGAAAUAGCUUUAGGGCUAGCCUUAAGUGUAAGAGUCUUGGAGGUAGAGCACUGAUUGGACUAGGGGCCCUCAUCGGAUUACCGAAUUCAGUCAAACUCCGAAUGCCAAUGACUUAUCCUUAGGAGUCAGACUGCGAGUGAUAAGAUCCGUAGUCAAAAGGGAAACAGCCCAGACCGCCAGCUAAGGUCCCAAAGUGUGUAUUAAGUGGAAAAGGAUGUGGAGUUGCUUAGACAACUAGGAUGUUGGCUUAGAAGCAGCCACCAUUUAAAGAGUGCGUAAUAGCUCACUAGUCGAGUGACUCUGCGCCGAAAAUGUACCGGGGCUAAAUACACCACCGAAGCUGCGGAUUGAUACCAAUGGUAUCAGUGGUAGGGGAGCGUUCUAAGGACAGUGAAGUCGGACCGGAAGGACUGGUGGAGUGCUUAGAAGUGAGAAUGCCGGUAUGAGUAGCGAAAGGCGGGUGAGAAUCCCGUCCACCGAAUGCCUAAGGUUUCCUGAGGAAGGCUCGUCCGCUCAGGGUUAGUCAGGACCUAAGCCGAGGCCGACAGGCGUAGGCGAUGGACAACAGGUUGAUAUUCCUGUACCACCUCUUUAUCGUUUGAGCAAUGGAGGGACGCAGAAGGAUAGAAGAAGCGUGCGAUUGGUUGUGCACGUCCAAGCAGUUAGGCUGAUAAGUAGGCAAAUCCGCUUAUCGUGAAGGCUGAGCUGUGAUGGGGAAGCUCCUUAUGGAGCGAAGUCUUUGAUUCCCCGCUGCCAAGAAAAGCUCUAGCGAGAUAAAAGGUGCCUGUACCGCAAACCGACACAGGUAGGCGAGGAGAGAAUCCUAAGGUGUGCGAGAGAACUCUGGUUAAGGAACUCGGCAAAAUGACCCCGUAACUUCGGGAGAAGGGGUGCUUUCUUAACGGAAAGCCGCAGUGAAUAGGCCCAAGCGACUGUUUAGCAAAAACACAGCUCUCUGCGAAGCCGUAAGGCGAAGUAUAGGGGGUGACACCUGCCCGGUGCUGGAAGGUUAAGGAGAGGGGUUAGCGUAAGCGAAGCUCUGAACUGAAGCCCCAGUAAACGGCGGCCGUAACUAUAACGGUCCUAAGGUAGCGAAAUUCCUUGUCGGGUAAGUUCCGACCCGCACGAAAGGUGUAACGAUUUGGGCACUGUCUCAACCAGAGACUCGGUGAAAUUAUAGUACCUGUGAAGAUGCAGGUUACCCGCGACAGGACGGAAAGACCCCGUGGAGCUUUACUGUAGCCUGAUAUUGAAUUUUGGUACAGUUUGUACAGGAUAGGCGGGAGCCUUUGAAACCGGAGCGCUAGCUUCGGUGGAGGCGCUGGUGGGAUACCGCCCUGACUGUAUUGAAAUUCUAACCUACGGGUCUUAUCGACCCGGGAGACAGUGUCAGGUGGGCAGUUUGACUGGGGCGGUCGCCUCCUAAAGUGUAACGGAGGCGCCCAAAGGUUCCCUCAGAAUGGUUGGAAAUCAUUCGUAGAGUGCAAAGGCAUAAGGGAGCUUGACUGCGAGACCUACAAGUCGAGCAGGGACGAAAGUCGGGCUUAGUGAUCCGGUGGUUCCGCAUGGAAGGGCCAUCGCUCAACGGAUAAAAGCUACCCCGGGGAUAACAGGCUUAUCUCCCCCAAGAGUCCACAUCGACGGGGAGGUUUGGCACCUCGAUGUCGGCUCAUCGCAUCCUGGGGCUGUAGUCGGUCCCAAGGGUUGGGCUGUUCGCCCAUUAAAGCGGUACGCGAGCUGGGUUCAGAACGUCGUGAGACAGUUCGGUCCCUAUCCGUCGUGGGCGUAGGAAAUUUGAGAGGAGCUGUCCUUAGUACGAGAGGACCGGGAUGGACGCACCGCUGGUGUACCAGUUGUUCUGCCAAGGGCAUAGCUGGGUAGCUAUGUGCGGAAGGGAUAAGUGCUGAAAGCAUCUAAGCAUGAAGCCCCCCUCAAGAUGAGAUUUCCCAUAGCGUAAGCUAGUAAGAUCCCUGAAAGAUGAUCAGGUUGAUAGGUUCGAGGUGGAAGCAUGGUGACAUGUGGAGCUGACGAAUACUAAUAGAUCGAGGACUUAACCA
Molecule: ribosomal RNA, 2917 nt
Filed under: Bacillus anthracis str. Turkey32
Lineage: Bacteria; Bacillati; Bacillota; Bacilli; Caryophanales; Bacillaceae
Description: bacterial LSU rRNA
Rfam family: Bacterial large subunit ribosomal RNA
Source: RNAcentral